This 431-nucleotide ribosomal RNA is filed under the name uncultured bacterium. Its description in RNAcentral is "bacterial SSU rRNA". It matches the Rfam family "Bacterial small subunit ribosomal RNA", at positions 97 to 524 of the family's 1533-position model. The record is from RNAcentral.
GGCGGACGGGUGAGUAAUGCAUCGGAACGUACCCAGUCGUGGGGGAUAACGCAGCGAAAGCUGUGCUAAUACCGCAUACGUCCUGAGGGAGAAAGCGGGGGACCUUCGGGCCUCGCGCGAUUGGAGCGGCCGAUGUCGGAUUAGCUAGUUGGUGGGGUAAAGGCUCACCAAGGCGACGAUCCGUAGCUGGUCUGAGAGGAUGAUCAGCCACACUGGGACUGAGACACGGCCCAGACUCCUACGGGAGGCAGCAGUGGGGAAUUUUGGACAAUGGGGGCAACCCUGAUCCAGCCAUGCCGCGUGAGUGAAGAAGGCCUUCGGGUUGUAAAGCUCUUUCAGUCGGGAAGAAACGGAGCGCUCUAACAUAGCGCUCUACUGACGGUACCGACAGAAGAAGCACCGGCUAACUACGUGCCAGCAGCCGCGGUAAU